RNAcentral lists this ribosomal RNA (252 nucleotides) under uncultured bacterium. RNAcentral's name for it is "partial 16S ribosomal RNA". It matches the Rfam family "Bacterial small subunit ribosomal RNA", at positions 525 to 776 of the family's 1533-position model. The record is from RNAcentral.
ACGGAGGGUGCAAGCGUUAAUCGGAAUUACUGGGCGUAAAGCGCGCGUAGGCGGUUUGUUAAGCUGGAUGUGAAAGCCCUGGGCUUAACCUGGGAACUGCAUUCAGAACUGGCAGGCUAGAGUACGGUAGAGGGGGGUAGAAUUCCUAGUGUAGCGGUGAAAUGCGUAGAUAUUAGGAGGAAUACCAGUGGCGAAGGCGGCCCCCUGGAUCGAUACUGACGCUGAGGUGCGAAAGCGUGGGGAGCAAACAGG